CCAGUAGUCAUAUGCUUGUCUCAAAGAUUAAGCCAUGCAUGUCUAAGUAUAAACAACUUUAUACUGUGAAACCGCGAAUGGCUCAUUAAAUCAGUUAUAGUUUAUUUGAUUAUACCUUACUACUUGGAUAACCGUGGUAAUUCUAGAGCUAAUACAUGCUAAAAAUCCCGACUUCUGGAAGGGAUGUAUUUAUUAGAUAAAAAACCAACGCGGGCAACCGCUUGUCUGGUGAUUCAUAAUAACUUUUCGAAUCGCAUGGCCUUGUGCUGGCGAUGUUUCAUUCAAAUUUCUGCCCUAUCAACUUUCGAGGGUAGGAUAGAGGCCUACCAUGGUUUUAACGGGUAACGGGGAAUUAGGGUUCGAUUCCGGAGAGGGAGCCUGAGAAACGGCUACCACAUCCAAGGAAGGCAGCAGGCACGCAAAUUACCCAAUCCCGACACGGGGAGGUAGUGACAAUAAAUAACAAUACAGGGCUUUCUAGUCUUGUAAUUGGAAUGAGUACAAUUUAAAUCCCUUAACGAGGAACAAUUGGAGGGCAAGUCUGGUGCCAGCAGCCGCGGUAAUUCCAGCUCCAAUAGCGUAUAUUAAAGUUGUUGCAGUUAAAAAGCUCGUAGUUGAAUUUUAGGCCCGGUUGGACGGUCUGCCCUCGGGCAUGUACUGUCCUGACUGGGUCUUCCCUUCUGGUGAGCUGUCGUGUUGUUUACUCAGUGCGGCAGGGAACCAGGACUUUUACUUUGAAAAAAUUAGAGUGUUUAAAGCAGGCAUUCGCUUGAAUACAUUAGCAUGGAAUAAUAAAAUAGGACUUUGGUUCUAUUUUGUUGGUUUCUAGGACCGAAGUAAUGAUUAAUAGGGAUAGUUGGGGGCAUUAGUAUUUAAUUGUCAGAGGUGAAAUUCUUGGAUUUAUGAAGACUAACUUCUGCGAAAGCAUUUGCCAAGGAUGUUUUCAUUAAUCAGAACGAAAGUAGGGAUCGAGACGAUCAGAUACCGUCGUAGUCUUAACCAUAAACUAUGCCGACUAGGGAUCAGACCAAGGAUUUUUUGA
Molecule: ribosomal RNA, 1042 nt
Filed under: uncultured fungus
Lineage: Eukaryota; Fungi
Description: SSU rRNA
Rfam family: Eukaryotic small subunit ribosomal RNA
Source: RNAcentral